This 307-nucleotide unclassified non-coding RNA is filed under the name uncultured fungus. Its description in RNAcentral is "partial contains small subunit ribosomal RNA, internal transcribed spacer 1, and 5.8S ribosomal RNA". The stretch from base 1 to 73 matches the Rfam family "Eukaryotic small subunit ribosomal RNA", at positions 1759 to 1831 of the family's 1831-position model. Lineage: Eukaryota; Fungi. The record is from RNAcentral.
GCAAACUUGGUCAUUUAGAGGAAGUAAAAGUCGUAACAAGGUUUCCGUAGGUGAACCUGCGGAAGGAUCAUUAUUGAUUUUCAAAGGAUGUGCUGGCCCCCCCUAACUGGGAGCAACGUGCACUCCCAACAAAACCAAUAUCCACCUGUGCACUCCUUAGUAGGCAAAGACCGUGACAAGUCCUUUGCCUAUGUUUCCUUUACAAACACUUGAACUAUUGGAAUGCCUUUCUUAUGCAAUGACAUAAAUUGCAAUAACAACUUUCAACAAUGGAUCUCUUGGUUCUCGCAUCGAUGAAGAACGCAGC